CUGGGGCAUUCCGCCCCCUUUGGACUUCAUUGUCCCUGCUGUGUCACCAGGGGCCCUGCCACACCCUGCCUCCGAGUGUGUGGGGUCUGUACCUGCUUUGCCCCCACUGGCCGCUUUCUCCAGGACAGCCAUGAACAUCUCCAGUGUCCUCGGAGCAAGGAAGGAAUGCUUCCUGGAGCAGAAGUGGCCACAAUGACGCUAGGUCAGCAGAUGGCCGCAGAGGCCUGGGCAGUGACCGGUCGGAGAACAAAGCCUGAGGUGUUCCCAGGCCGGUUUCCACGGGAGUCUUGGCAGUGACCCGUGCACGGAGGAGACGCGUGCCUUCCUGGCCCCCCAGUUUGGAUUCCUGGUGCCUCUAAGGUCUGCUGAUGGCAGAGCUGCACCCGGGAUAUUGCCACGGUUUCUACAGGACUGAACAAAGGGGGACCAACGCAGAAAUGAAAACUUAAAACAAAACAGCCACUAAGGAAGGCGCAGAGGGACUUCCUUUCGGCCUGCAACAGUAUCUGUGCUGCCCAAGUGAGUAUGGAAUUUUAAAUUUUCAUUCUUAGUCUCUUCCUUCAUCCACUGGUCAUUCAGGAGCAUGUUGUUUAAUUUCCAUGUAUUUGUACAGUUUCAAAUGUUCCUCUUGUUAUUGCUUUCUGGUUUUGUUGCACUGUGGUCAGAUAAGAUACCUGGUAUCAUUUUGAUUUUUAAAACAUUGUAGAGACAUGUUUUGUGUCUUAACAUAUUGUCAAUCCUGGAGAAUCUCCCAUGUGCUGAUGAAAAGAAUGUAUUUUUCAGCUGUUGAGUGAAACGUUCUGUAAAGGUCUGUCAGGUCCAUUUGGUCUACGGUGUAGUUUCAAUCCAAUGUUUCUUUGUUAAUCUUCUAUCUAGAUGAUCUUUUUAAUGCUGAGAGAGGGGUUUUAGAGUCCAACUAUUAUUCUAUUGGGGUCUAUCUCUCCCUUUAGAUCUAUUAAUAAUAAUAUUUGCUUUAUAUACCUGGGUACCCUGGUGUUGGGUGCAUAUAUAUUUUUAAGUGUUAUAUUCCCUUGCCAAAUUAACCCCCUUAUUAUUAUACAGCGUCUUUGUCUCUUUUUAUAGCUUUUGAAGUCUGUUUUGUCUAAUAUAAGUACAGUUAC
Homo sapiens (human) is the source of this 1121-nucleotide long non-coding RNA. RefSeq lists it as uncharacterized. The transcript has 3 exons. The record is from RefSeq and is a predicted model, not a curated record. NCBI's taxonomy places the organism in Eukaryota, Metazoa, Chordata, Mammalia, Primates, Hominidae.